RNAcentral lists this ribosomal RNA (427 nucleotides) under uncultured archaeon. Its description in RNAcentral is "bacterial SSU rRNA". It matches the Rfam family "Archaeal small subunit ribosomal RNA", at positions 474 to 903 of the family's 1478-position model. The record is from RNAcentral.
UACCAGCUCUCCGAGUGGUGUGGAUGUUUAUUGGGCCUAAAGCAUCCGUAGCUGGCUGGACAAGUCCCCUGUUAAGUCCACCGAUUUAAUCGUUGGAGUGCGGGGGAUACUGUUCGGCUAGGGGACGGGAGAGGCAGACGAUAUUUUCGGGGUAGGGGUGAAAUCCUAUAAUCCCGGGAAGACCACCAGUGGCGAAGGCUGUCUGCUAGAACGCGCCCGACGGUGAGGGAUGAAGCUGGGGGAGCGAACCGGAUUAGAUACCCGGGUAGUCCCAGCUGUAAACGAUGCAGGCUAGGUGUUUGGGCGGCCACGUGCCGCUCUAGUGCCGCAGGGAAGCCGUUAAGCCUGCCGCCUGGGGAGUACGGCCGCAAGGCUGAAACUUAAGGAAUUGGCGGGGGAGCACCACAAGGGGUGAAGCUUGCGGUUU